This is a long non-coding RNA of Trifolium pratense (red clover), 1368 nucleotides long. RefSeq lists it as uncharacterized. The transcript is spliced from 6 exons. The record is from RefSeq and is a predicted model, not a curated record. NCBI's taxonomy places the organism in Eukaryota, Viridiplantae, Streptophyta, Magnoliopsida, Fabales, Fabaceae.
CAAAGAAGCCCCUUUAUUCGCCGACUUCCAUUGCGUGUGUAUGUAGCAUUUCUGCUACUUAUUGUUAGCUUUUUUUUUUGACACAGUUACUUAUAAUGUAUCUAAUACUUAGACGUUGAAGAAGAUAUUUCCAACUUCAUGGUUUUUGUAAUUAUAUUUUUAGUAAGUGGAUUAUUUGAUUUACUGCUAUGGUUGAAUACUAAAGCAAUUUGAGAGGAUCACUUCUGCCAAUGCUAGAGCCAUUAGUAUCAAGUGGACCAUAUCAAGUGGACCACUUCUCAUGUUAUACUCCAAAAUUCCUUCAAGUAGUUAUUGUUUCAAUUAAUUGGAAACGCUAUCAUAUAUUCUUGUACAUACCCAUUGCACAUAUGGAUUAAUUGUGGUGGACUAUACUGCCGUGUUUGUUUUCCGGCUCUUGAUGUUUGUCGAUAAUGGGUUUGCUGCAAGAAUGAGUUUUUAAUCAUCUGCAGCUGCCUGAAGAGGAGCAGAAAUGGGGAUUUCUUAUCUGGUUACUUUUUAGCUACUAUGGACUUCUUUGCAUUGCUUGCAUGUCAGUGGGGAUGGUUUGUGCUGAUGCUUUAUUAACCAUUAGAUAUUUCUUUGAGUUAUUACCAUUUCACAAUCUCUUUUCACUCCAUUUGAUGUGCUAUUCUUGUUCUUAACAACUUAUAAACAUAGAAUAUCUGCAAAAAAAUAUUAUUCAUCUUCAUUAUUUCAUAUCUAGAUUGUUGCAGGAAUCAUUUUGGCUUAACCCCUUGCAGCGGUUGACUUGACGACAAGCACACCCAGUGCGUUCCCAACAGGGUAUCCAUGUGUCUGAAUAUGGGGUAAGUUUGACUUUAUUGCAAUAUAUUUAGAAGUUUUAGUAACAUAUGUCAUGAAAAUUGUAAUCUUAGGACAUGUUAUUGAAUCUUGCUUAUCAGCUGAUGCCAUCAUAUUUGAUAAGUGAUAAUACAAUAUUAGAGUAUGAGUCUAUGUUGCUCUGUUUUCAUUUUAGUCUUGUUUUGAUUUUGUCAACCUUGCCAUGAUAGUUUCCACUUAAAUGCUCAAGACCAAUUUGUUUUUUUCCUCGAAGUAUUUUGAUGAAUACAAAUGUGGUGCAUACUCUAAGGAUGAGUUAGAUGAAGUGAAGGACGAAUGGACGAAAUAUAUGUUCACAAAUGUUAUCCCCAUGGGAAGUUGGAUAAUGUAACCGAAUAAGAAGAGUCGAGCGAUGGUAGGCGUUUCUGAGUCAAGUUAACACUAAUUAAGGAUUAUGAAGCAACAUCACAUACUAGGGAUAUUUAGAUAUUUUAUGAACUAAUUUUGACGUAAUGUUAUGUUUAACCACUCUACUAAUAUUUAUGUUUUAGUUUUUGAAUGUUUGAA